AUGAUUGGUGCUCGAGAUAAUGUUGUUGCUAAGAAUUUGAAGGUAAAGCUAAUUGUGCCUUGCAUACACUCAGUGAAUUGGUAUGUCUGCUCCACUGGGCAGCAGCUGCAACCUUUCAACUUUGGCUCUUGCACCAUUGUUUCAUAUGUAAGUAUACUUGUCUACGAUCGCGGCCGCCCACGCAUUCGAGCCACCAGGAUUGUUAAGGAGACCUUGCAAGGCAAUACUUGGGCGCUGGACUUGGGACCAGUCAUUGAUUUGCCAUGCCUGCAACAGUUUUGGAUGCUAUGGCCACGGAUUGCUGAUGUUCAGCUCAUGGGAGGAGCAGAGGCCCCCAUAAGAUGGGCGUGGAAGAGUAGUGGCAUGUUCUCCGUUCGCCCUGCAUAUGCCUCAAAAUUCGGAGGAAGCGAUGUGGUACCGUACGCGGACGUCACAUGGAACUCGAAGGCCGCCCUUCAAUGUCGGUUCUUUACUUGGUUAGCCAUGUGA
Molecule: ribosomal RNA, 489 nt
Filed under: Triticum aestivum (bread wheat)
Lineage: Eukaryota; Viridiplantae; Streptophyta; Magnoliopsida; Poales; Poaceae
Description: partial small subunit ribosomal RNA
Source: RNAcentral